GAGAGCCGGAUGCGGUGAAAGUCGCACGUCCGGUUCGGGCGGGCGGCCCCGGGAAACGGACUCGGAGCAAUCCGAGC
This 77-nucleotide non-coding RNA is filed under the name Pseudonocardia kunmingensis. Lineage: Bacteria; Bacillati; Actinomycetota; Actinomycetes; Pseudonocardiales; Pseudonocardiaceae. The record is from RNAcentral.